RNAcentral lists this ribosomal RNA (474 nucleotides) under uncultured Spirochaetaceae bacterium. Its description in RNAcentral is "bacterial SSU rRNA". It matches the Rfam family "Bacterial small subunit ribosomal RNA", at positions 908 to 1382 of the family's 1533-position model. Lineage: Bacteria; Pseudomonadati; Spirochaetota; Spirochaetia; Spirochaetales; Spirochaetaceae. The record is from RNAcentral.
AAGUGACGGGGCCCGCACAAGCGGAGGAACAUGUGGUUUAAUUCGAUGAUACGCGAGGAACCUUUACCUGGGCUUAAAUGUAGAGUGCAUGAAGUGGAAACAUUUCUUUCCUUCGGGACUCUUUGCAAGGUGCUGCAUGGCUGUCGUCAGCUCGUGCCGUGAGGUGUUGGGUUAAGUCCCGCAACGAGCGCAAACCCCUACUGCCAGUUACUAACAGGUGAAGCUGAGGACUCUGGCGGAACUGCCGGUGACAAACCGGAGGAAGGUGGGAUGACGUCAAGUCAUCAUGGCCCUUAUGUCCAGGGCUACACACGUGCUACAAUGGGCGAGACAGAGCGACGCGAAGCCGCGAGGUGGAGCAAAUCGCAGAAAAUCGCCCUCAGUUCGGAUUGGAGUCUGAAACCCGACUCCAUGAAGGUGGAAUCGCUAGUAAUCGCGCAUCAGCAUGGCGCGGUGAAUACGUUCCCGGGCCUU